ACCCUGCAGGUUCCUUACCCCUUGGAUCGGAACCUCAGUCGGAGUGGCUGAAAAAGGAGGGACAUGGAAUUGAAGUGGACUUGGAGCCUUUUGAGACAGACAGUUCACUUUAAACAACA
This 119-nucleotide small nucleolar RNA is filed under the name Echinops telfairi (small Madagascar hedgehog). Its description in RNAcentral is "Small nucleolar RNA SNORA61 (ENSETEG00000026301.1)". The record is from RNAcentral. Lineage: Eukaryota; Metazoa; Chordata; Mammalia; Afrosoricida; Tenrecidae.